Molecule: unclassified non-coding RNA, 332 nt
Organism: Vulpes vulpes (red fox)
Lineage: Eukaryota; Metazoa; Chordata; Mammalia; Carnivora; Canidae
Gene: 7SK
Rfam family: 7SK RNA
About the family: 7SK was discovered as an abundant small nuclear RNA in the mid-70s but a possible function has only recently been suggested.
Source: Ensembl
GGUUGUGAGGGCAAUCUGGCUGUGACAUCGAUCAUCCCAUUAAUCAUCAGGGUUGAUUCAGCUGCUCUGGCUGACUAGGCGAGUCCCCUUCCUCCUUCAUGGCUCCACGCACACCCCUCCUGAAGAUAUGAUGAUGUGCCCUUGGUCAAAGAGGACAGCCUUCCCCCGAUAGAGAAGGACUGAUCUUGGUUGAGGGUAUACCAAUAGCCAUGCUCCCCUGCUAGAACUUUCAGAAAAGCUCUUAAGGUCCAUUUGUAGGAGAAAAUAGUCAAGCUUCCAAGGCUUCAGACACAUCCAAAUGAAGCACUGUAUGUGUCAGUCUGCCUUUCUUU